GACAGAGGGGGCAAGCGUUGCUCGGAAUCACUGGGCGUAAAGGGCGCGUAGGCGGGAUGGCAAGUCGGUCGUGAAAUCUCUCGGCUCAACCGAGAAACGUCGGCCGAUACUGCCGUUCUUGAGGGAUGCAGAGGAGACUGGAAUUCCCGGUGUAGCGGUGAAAUGUGUAGAGAUCGGGAGGAACACCGGUGGCGAAGGCGGGUCUCUGGGCAUUUCCUGACGCUGAGGCGCGACAGCGUGGGGAGCAAACAGG
Molecule: ribosomal RNA, 253 nt
Filed under: uncultured bacterium
Lineage: Bacteria
Description: partial 16S ribosomal RNA
Rfam family: Bacterial small subunit ribosomal RNA
Source: RNAcentral